CCUACGGGAGGCAGCAGUGGGGAAUAUUGGACAAUGGGCGCAAGCCUGAUCCAGCAAUGCCGCGUGGGUGAAGAAGGUCUUCGGAUCGUAAAGCCCUUUCGACAGGGACGAUGAUGACGGUACCUGUAGAAGAAGCCCCGGCUAACUUCGUGCCAGCAGCCGCGGUAAUACGAAGGGGGCUAGCGUUGCUCGGAAUUACUGGGCGUAAAGGGCGCGUAGGCGGCUCGGUCAGUCAGGCGUGAAAUUCCUGGGCUUAACCUGGGGACUGCGCUUGAUACUGUCGGGCUUGAGGCCGAGAGAGGGUGGUGGAAUUCCCAGUGUAGAGGUGAAAUUCGUAGAUAUUGGGAAGAACACCGGUGGCGAAGGCGACCACCUGGCUCGGUACUGACGCUGAGGCGCGAUAGCGUGGGGAGCAAACAGGAUUAGAUACCCUGGUAGUCCACGCCGUAAACGAUGUGUGCUGGAUGUUGGGGUCCCUAGGAUCUCAGUGUCGUAGCCAACGCGGUAAGCACACCGCCUGGGGAGUACGGCCGCAAGGUUGAAACUCAAAUGAAUUGACGG
Molecule: ribosomal RNA, 561 nt
Filed under: uncultured bacterium
Lineage: Bacteria
Description: bacterial SSU rRNA
Rfam family: Bacterial small subunit ribosomal RNA
Source: RNAcentral